GGACCGCACCGUGGAUCGAACACGGGGCCUCGUGCAUAUGCGCUAUCGUAGAUGAGCCCAAAGCACGAAUCAUACCACUAGACCAUGCGGUC
Cladobotryum mycophilum is the source of this 92-nucleotide non-coding RNA. The record is from the annotation of a GenBank genome assembly. Lineage: Eukaryota; Fungi; Ascomycota; Sordariomycetes; Hypocreales; Hypocreaceae.